RNAcentral lists this ribosomal RNA (253 nucleotides) under uncultured bacterium. RNAcentral describes it as "partial 16S ribosomal RNA". It matches the Rfam family "Bacterial small subunit ribosomal RNA", at positions 524 to 776 of the family's 1533-position model. The record is from RNAcentral.
UACGUAGGAUCCAAGCGUUGUCCGGAUUUACUGGGUGUAAAGGGUGCGCAGGCGGACUUAUAAGUCCGAGGUGAAAUCUCACUGCUCAACAGUGAAACUGCCUUUGAUACUGUAGGUCUUGAAUUGGGGAGAGAUUCGUGGAAUUCCGAGUGUAGCAGUGAAAUGUGUAGAUAUUCGGAAGAACACCAGUGGCGAAGGCAGCGAAUUGGCCCUAUAUUGACGCUCAGGCACGAAAGCAUGGGGAUCAAACAGG